GCUUGUCUCAAAGAUUAAGCCAUGCAUGUCUAAGUACAAGCCGCUAGUUCGGCGAAACCGCGAAUGGCUCAAUAAAUCAGUUAUGGUUCCUUAGAUCCACUCCAUCCUACUUGGAUAACUGUGGUAAUUCUAGAGCUAAUACAUGCGUAAAGUCCCGACUCUUUCUGGGGAGGGAUGUAUUUAUUAGAUAAAAAACCAAUGCGGGUUCUGCCCGGUUUUGUGUUGAAUCAUAGUAACUUUUCGAAUCGCAUGGCUUCACGCCGGCGAUAGUUCAUUCAAAUUUCUGCCCUAUCAGCUUUCGACGGUAGUGUAGUGGACUACCGUGGCGUUAACGGGUAACGGAGGAUUAGGGUUCGAUUCCGGAGAGGGAGCCUGAGAAACGGCUACCACAUCUAAGGAAGGCAGCAGG
Molecule: ribosomal RNA, 409 nt
Filed under: uncultured Cryomonadida
Lineage: Eukaryota; Cercozoa; Thecofilosea
Description: partial small subunit ribosomal RNA
Rfam family: Eukaryotic small subunit ribosomal RNA
Source: RNAcentral